RNAcentral lists this ribosomal RNA (1213 nucleotides) under Chryseobacterium aquaticum. RNAcentral's name for it is "bacterial SSU rRNA". It matches the Rfam family "Bacterial small subunit ribosomal RNA", at positions 84 to 1304 of the family's 1533-position model. The record is from RNAcentral. Lineage: Bacteria; Pseudomonadati; Bacteroidota; Flavobacteriia; Flavobacteriales; Weeksellaceae.
GAAUCUUGAGAGCGGCGCACGGGUGCGGAACACGUGUGCAACCUGCCUUUAUCUGGGGGAUAGCCUUUCGAAAGGAAGAUUAAUACCCCAUAAUAUAUUGAGUGGCAUCACUUGAUAUUGAAAACUCCGGUGGAUAGAGAUGGGCACGCGCAAGAUUAGAUAGUUGGUGAGGUAACGGCUCACCAAGUCAAUGAUCUUUAGGGGGCCUGAGAGGGUGAUCCCCCACACUGGUACUGAGACACGGACCAGACUCCUACGGGAGGCAGCAGUGAGGAAUAUUGGACAAUGGGUGAGAGCCUGAUCCAGCCAUCCCGCGUGAAGGACGACUGCCCUAUGGGUUGUAAACUUCUUUUAUACUGGGAUAAACCUACCCUUCGUGAGGGUAGCUGAAGGUACAGUAUGAAUAAGCACCGGCUAACUCCGUGCCAGCAGCCGCGGUAAUACGGAGGGUGCAAGCGUUAUCCGGAUUUAUUGGGUUUAAAGGGUCCGUAGGCGGACUCGUAAGUCAGUGGUGAAAUCUCAUAGCUUAACUAUGAAACUGCCAUUGAUACUGCGGGUCUUGAGUAAAGUAGAAGUGGCUGGAAUAAGUAGUGUAGCGGUGAAAUGCAUAGAUAUUACUUAGAACACCAAUUGCGAAGGCAGGUCACUAUGUUUUAACUGACGCUGAUGGACGAAAGCGUGGGGAGCGAACAGGAUUAGAUACCCUGGUAGUCCACGCCGUAAACGAUGCUAACUCGUUUUUGGGUUUUCGGAUUCAGAGACUAAGCGAAAGUGAUAAGUUAGCCACCUGGGGAGUACGUUCGCAAGAAUGAAACUCAAAGGAAUUGACGGGGGCCCGCACAAGCGGUGGAUUAUGUGGUUUAAUUCGAUGAUACGCGAGGAACCUUACCAAGGCUUAAAUGGGAAUUGACAGGUUUAGAAAUAGAUCCUUCUUCGGACAAUUUUCAAGGUGCUGCAUGGUUGUCGUCAGCUCGUGCCGUGAGGUGUUAGGUUAAGUCCUGCAACGAGCGCAACCCCUGUCACUAGUUGCCAUCAUUCAGUUGGGGACUCUAGUGAGACUGCCUACGCAAGUAGAGAGGAAGGUGGGGAUGACGUCAAAUCAUCACGGCCCUUACGCCUUGGGCCACACACGUAAUACAAUGGCCGGUACAGAGGGCAGCUACUAUGCGAAUAGAUGCGAAUCUCGAAAGCCGGUCUCAGUUCGGAUUGGAGU